RNAcentral lists this long non-coding RNA (1151 nucleotides) under Phasianus colchicus (ring-necked pheasant). RNAcentral's name for it is "lncRNA (ENSPCLG00000000574.1)". The record is from RNAcentral. Lineage: Eukaryota; Metazoa; Chordata; Aves; Galliformes; Phasianidae.
CCCAGGGCAGUUUGCUGUGCUGAGUCAGCCCCAGGCUGGUUUUAUUGGUGGCAGGUGGGUAUGGCUCCUGCUGCUUUUGUCUCCUCCUCCCUUGCUUUGUUGGAUGCAGUCUCGUUUUAGGUACUGAAGACUGUGUGUUCCCCAGAAAGCAUGCAACACCUGCAGCCAGCAGACAUCAGCAGCUCAGUGUGAGAAGGCACAUCUUUGGCUGGAAGAAGCAAUACUCUGGGCUUGGCCUCAGCCCAUGGGGAGGCCCUGAUGCUGAGGAGCACCAUGAGAGAUGAGCAGGAAGGGGUUUAAGAGGAGCAGCUCUGAUCUGACAAACACUUCCUGGGAGCUCUCAGCUGGUGCUGAGCAGGAGAAAAGGUUCUCUCCGUUCUUCCAGAGAGGGGAACUGGAGUGCCAUCCCCUAGCCCUGUGGGAAGAGGGCAUGGUGGAGAUAUUGUCACUCAGGGAUAUGUCCUCCAGGAUGGCUUUUGGUGACAUUGGCAGGAAGAGUUCCUGGAUAUUGCCUCUGACCAAAGGUUUGGUGCUUUGUCCAUCUGUUUCUUGCCUGCAAACACAAGGCAUAAGAGACAUAUGGUAGAAUAGUCCACGCUGACUGUUAGUCUAGUCCAGCAUUAUUUUCAUUUGAAACAGAUAAAUACGUACCAAGGCCCUGCACCCUGCAGGAAAAGGUACCCUGCCAGUAUUUAUACUGUCUACAGCAACUUCCAAAAGAAGCUCUUAGCAUGCAGCACAGCAUGCCUAGAAGUGUCAGGCACAUAGAUCAGGUAUAUGUGGGACUGCCCAACCUCCAGGCUACCCAUUAAUUUUUAUGUGUGUUUUGCCUGGAAGUCCCCAUCCACAAAGGGAAAGAAAUAAGACAUGUCUGGGUUCUGGUGCACUAAACCUACAGAGACCUCCAUAGCAAAUCUGCACUUGGUGCCCACCCAGCUCAGGUACUGCUGCUGGCUUGCAUCCCCAGUAAAUAGCCUUGCCCACAGGCCUUGCAGACACCCACAGUGAUGUGCAAGUUAAUGUGGUUUCACGUUGCUUCUGGGAGCAGUUGGUUUGGGAGCAGAAGAAUAUUUUAAUGACGGUCUACAAAUUGAAUUUUAAUUGUGAACAAAUGGUGAGCUUUGUCUCUGCAUCAGUAGUCUCACAAACAG